Molecule: long non-coding RNA, 2293 nt
Filed under: Mytilus galloprovincialis (Mediterranean mussel)
Lineage: Eukaryota; Metazoa; Mollusca; Bivalvia; Mytilida; Mytilidae
Source: RNAcentral
UUUUCUGUUAAGCAUGAUUUAGUUGUGUAUGUUAUAUAAAAACAAUCGUAAAGGAAACUUGUUUAUUACAUGUGUUGUACAAUGACAAAAGCAGAAUGUUAAUCUGUAAGAUACUAUUGAGUAUUUUUCUGAUAUUUAUCUUCAAUACUGAAGUAUCUGGCUUACGAUUUGGUAAGUAUAUUUAUUUAUUUUCCAAAGUAUUCUUAAUACAGAUAAUCAACUUCAAAGAAAUUUUGCUUUUUAUAUAUUUUUUAUGUUUUAGAUAAUCCUGUGCACAAAUGAUUUUGUUUAUCAAAAUUUGCAAUAGAUUGUCCUGUUUUCUUCAUACUUUAACAAACGUUACAUACGUUUCCUGUGUUGCGUUAAGAUAAUACCAAUAAAAGCCUCCAUUUCAAUUGUAUAUAAACAAAAAUAAGCACACGACCUAUCUAUUCAAAAUAAUAAAGAGUGCAGACAAAACAACUAAUAUAAUUCUGACGUGGUGCAGGCAUUUCCUUAAUAUGUAGAAAUGUUUUAUAUAUUAUUAUAAUAGUCUUGUUUUAUGGGGUAUCCAUAAAACGACAAGUCUAGGGUUCUUUGACAUCACUUUAUUUCACAAGUAAACAUAGGGAAUAAAUAAAUAACCCUGCAAUAACAAUAGCAUAUAGUUAUCACAUUUAUCUGUAUCAGUCUUAUUAAAGUAUUAUACUAGAAACAUAUGAAUAUUAUACUGGUGUAAACAACAAUGUUACAAGAUCGUAUAUAAGAUUCUAUUCCAUAUACAAUAAACUAUACUGAGCAUCGAGAAUGCGGUGACAUUCACAAUAUGCAAUAAACUUGCAAUUACAAAUACAUGCUUUUGAUAAGUCGUAUCAAAUAGUAUAUCAUUAUAAUCAAUCAUGCGUAUUAUAAACAAGUCGAAUGUAUCGUACUUCAUAAACGAGUGUCAUUAAUAAAACCUUUAACAUACAAAGGUUAUUAUCUGUUCACUAUAGUAUUCUAUUAUGUUCGUAUGCACUACUGUAAUGUAUAAUAUCUAUGAUAUAAGUAACAUAUAGGUACAAUAUAAUAUGACCCUUACCAAUCUGUGGAACCAGGUUAUAUAUCUAACAUCUACAGUACAACCAGUAUGUUACAGAGACAUCAUAAUCUAUGUGUCCUGAAAAUAAUACACAAUUAUAAAUACUAGGAUCAAGGAAUGUAAUGAUCCCUUAUACAAAAUACAACAUAUUAAAGACUAAUAUAAUAAAAUCAAGCGAUUACACAGAAUAACACUAUAUGGCAAUAUAAACGCAAUGGUCAAUGUGACGUCAUAGAUCCAUAACUGAAAGGUCAAAGUCACUUUCAAAAUCAUUCGUAAAUCUCCCUUUCUACAUUCAAACUACAGAUUCAAAUCAUAUAUUCUCAGAUUAAUACAUAAACUAUCUUAUUCCUAUCAUAUUUAAGGUCUAUGCUCAUACUUACCUAUAAACGGGCAGAAUUGGUAUAGCAAACACUGCAUACAUCUUUCAUUCACCACAAAGAACAUAAAAUCUACCAACCAUAUAUAAAGAACGUAAUUUCCAAUGACAACAUUUGUUCCAAAUUAUGGAAACUUCAGUAAGUAAUAACCGAGCACUAAAUAUAAUGUCUCUAUAUAAGUUUCAUCAUUAAUAUACGGUUUCAAUAAGAAGUAUAUAUCAAAUAUGUAUGUCUCCAAUUUUCAAUAGUUAACCACCAUUACUUCUUUUCCAAAAUCGGAGGUGGGUCAAGAAUGACCAAUAAGAACUGACCAUAUAGGUAAAGGUAUGACAACUAAUUUACUAAUGAGUUGGACAGGUAGAUACUAUUACAACUAUGCCCAAUGAAGUAUGACUGACUAGAACUGUCAUACAUUUUAAAAUGUGAAGAGAUAAUAGACUAUAAAUCAAAAGAUCAAAUAAUCAGAGUGAAGUCAUCAAGUCAUAUAUCUGGCAUGUACUAAAAUAUAAAAUACUAAUGAAUGAAAUACAUAAAAAAUACUCUAUCACAUUAUUUCGAACAAUCUUUUUUUACUUAUUUAUAAAUCAAUGAUUGUGUUGUUAUAAAUAUUAGUUUUGUAUUUUAUAGCAUGUGGACUGAGAUGUCCAUCUGUGCCAUAUAGAAAGUCAUUGUAAGAUCUUAUGUCAACCGCAUAGCUGUGGUAUCGAUUAUCUGUGCUGUUCUAUUGGUUGUGGUAAAGAGUGCGGAAAAGGAAUUCGGAGAUGUGAAUAAAACUCGCACUUAAAAAAAUAAUUAGUAAGAUUGUAAGACAUUGUUACACUUUACAUUGCUGAUUAUACCGAAUAAAUGUCUA